ACACUCCCCAGCACCGUUCUCUCUAUCUUUCUCUCUUCAACCCUCAACGUCGCUCGACCGAGAGCCACAAAGGCUCGCUCUACGCCGACCACCACCGAUUGGUGGCCGUUAUACCCCCGAUUAUCUUCUCAAAUCAACCACAAAACCCACACCAAACUUAUAUAACCCCCAAAUUACCCUAGAAACUGCCUAGUGAGAUCCAAAUCGACCCAAACAGCCUCAACACCACGUGCGAGCCUGAACUCAAAGGAAAAUGACCCUUCCACACUCAAAACAGCCUGAAAAUGGAUACCUUUAAGGAAUCCACAGUGACCCAACCUCAGGCGACGACUGUAAUCCUCUUCUGAUGGAAAAGGGUAUGGGCAUGAGCUGUUGGUGGUGUUUUCUCGGGGUGCCGAGCCUUGUCUGUCGCGCUUCACGUGGGUGGAUGGUAAGCCGGGGUUGGAAAUGGUGAAGGCACGGGCACGAGUUGGAAAUGGUGAGCUCGUGGUGGUUUCUGCUGGGGGUUGUUCCUGGCCUCACGUGAUGUUUCAACCAGGUUCGCUUGGGCCUGCUCUGCUUUGCGGGCUCGGGUUUUAGGCUUGUCUUGAACUUGUAAUAAUUUGGCUUGUAAUUGGACUGUAAUUAUUUGUAGUCUAUUUUGGGCUUUGUAAGAUAUAAAUGGACCUUAGACACUUAAUUUAUAUUGAACUUCAA
Hibiscus syriacus is the source of this 696-nucleotide long non-coding RNA. RefSeq lists it as uncharacterized. NCBI's taxonomy places the organism in Eukaryota, Viridiplantae, Streptophyta, Magnoliopsida, Malvales, Malvaceae. The record is from RefSeq and is a predicted model, not a curated record. The transcript is spliced from 2 exons.